UACGUAGGGUGCAAGCGUUAAUCGGAAUUACUGGGCGUAAAGCGCACGUAGGCGGCUUCGCAAGUCAGGGGUGAAAGCCCGGGGCUUAACCCCGGAACUGCCUUUGAGACUGCGUCGCUUGAAUCCGGGAGAGGCGGGUGGAAUUCCGAGUGUAGAGGUGAAAUUCGUAGAUAUUCGGAAGAACACCAGUGGCGAAGGCGGCCCGCUGGACCGGUAUUGACGCUGAGGUGCGAAAGCGUGGGGAGCAAACAGG
This 253-nucleotide ribosomal RNA is filed under the name uncultured bacterium. RNAcentral's name for it is "partial 16S ribosomal RNA". It matches the Rfam family "Bacterial small subunit ribosomal RNA", at positions 524 to 776 of the family's 1533-position model. The record is from RNAcentral.